UAACUCCCAAGAAAUCAAAAGCUGGUGAGAGUAUGUUUAUUUAAAACAUUAUGAUGUUCAUUUCUAGAUUAACGCUCUUAUUGGGUCCUCCAAGCUCUGGCAAAACCACAUUGUUAUUAGCACUUGCUGGAUGCCUCAAAUCUGACUUGCAGACGUCAGGGAAUAUUACUUACAAUGGACAUGGUCUGAAAGAGUUUUUCCUCAAAAGACAUCCCCUUAUGUCAGUCAACAAGAUUGGCAUAUAACAGAGAUGACUGUAAGGGAAACUAUGGACUUCUCAGCAUAUUGUCAGGGUGUUGGAUCAAAAUAUGAUAUGCUAUUGGAACUUUCAAGAAGAGAAAAGAUGGCAGGAAUAAAACCUGAUGAAGAUCUUGACCUAUUCAUAAAGGCAUAAGCUUUGGAGGGGAACGAGACUGCACUUGUUGUUGAGUACAUUCUAAAGGUUAGAGUCUAUGACUCAUUCAUAUAUAGUUGUAGAAAGAGAAGGUGGCAGUCCUGCAAGAUUAGGAGGGUAACAUGGCAGUCUUAUUUACUGCGCCCUUCUUAUUGAUAUCCAUAAGAAGAACACUUUCUUUCACGCAUUUGGUACAAAUACAAUCCACUAAUGUCUCUCAACUCGCGAUCGGAAUCUGGUAUUAGAAAAGCAUUGGAGCACUUUUG
Nicotiana attenuata is the source of this 660-nucleotide long non-coding RNA. RefSeq lists it as uncharacterized. The record is from RefSeq and is a predicted model, not a curated record. The transcript is spliced from 5 exons. Lineage: Eukaryota; Viridiplantae; Streptophyta; Magnoliopsida; Solanales; Solanaceae.